RNAcentral lists this ribosomal RNA (253 nucleotides) under uncultured bacterium. RNAcentral describes it as "partial 16S ribosomal RNA". It matches the Rfam family "Bacterial small subunit ribosomal RNA", at positions 524 to 776 of the family's 1533-position model. The record is from RNAcentral.
UACGAAGGGGGCUAGCGUUGCUCGGAAUCACUGGGCGUAAAGCGCACGUAGGCGGCUUUUUAAGUCAGGGGUGAAAUCCUGGAGCUCAACUCCAGAACUGCCUUUGAUACUGAGAAGCUUGAGUCCGGGAGAGGUGAGUGGAACUGCGAGUGUAGAGGUGAAAUUCGUAGAUAUUCGCAAGAACACCAGUGGCGAAGGCGGCAUCCUGGACCGGUAUUGACGCUGAGGCGCGAAAGCUAGGGUAGCAAACGGG